UUCACUACAGACAAAACCUUAUCCGGUCAUUUGAGGGACCACAUCAAUUUGGAGGACCACCAACUCUGAGAAAAAUCCUGCUACCUAACGGAAUGAUUCUCCCAAAAAUUUGCCAAGCUCAUGAAAGAGGAAUGAGAAACCUCGUACAUCCAAAGCUCUAUAUAAGGACCCUCCAUCGUUAGGGUAGAAAAACCUAAUCCUGGCGCCGUUACUCUGCAAAAAUAGAAUCAAAACAUCACUAAAGCUCUAAUUUUUCUUUUGGAGUUUGUUGAAAUUUCAUAUUGAAACUCAGCAAACUCGAGCUAAAGCCACAGAAUACCCUAAAACCGUUACUACCGCCAUAGCAGCGACGUAAGAAGGAAAGAGAAGGAGAAGAAGCGAAGGAGACGGAAAGAAUUGAAAUUUCAUAUUGAAACUCAGCAAACUCGAGCUAAAGCCACAGAAUACCCUAAAACCGUUACUACCGCCAUAGCAGCGACGUAAGAAGGAAAGAGAAGGAGAAGAAGCGAAGGAGACGGAAAGAUCAGAAGGAAGAAGAG
Molecule: long non-coding RNA, 539 nt
Filed under: Lathyrus oleraceus (garden pea)
Lineage: Eukaryota; Viridiplantae; Streptophyta; Magnoliopsida; Fabales; Fabaceae
Description: Pisum sativum (pea) long non-coding RNA (PSAT_LNC041269)
Source: RNAcentral